Molecule: microRNA, 22 nt
Filed under: Pristionchus pacificus
Lineage: Eukaryota; Metazoa; Nematoda; Chromadorea; Rhabditida; Neodiplogasteridae
Description: ppc-miR-63f
Gene: ppc-miR-63f
Source: miRBase by way of RNAcentral
UAUGACACUGAGUGCGGAGUGG